This 202-nucleotide ribosomal RNA is filed under the name uncultured soil bacterium. Its description in RNAcentral is "partial 16S ribosomal RNA". It matches the Rfam family "Bacterial small subunit ribosomal RNA", at positions 26 to 229 of the family's 1533-position model. The record is from RNAcentral.
AGAUUGAACGCUGGCGGCAGGCCUAACACAUGCAAGUCGAGCGGUAGAGAGGUGCUUGCAUCUCUUGAGAGCGGCGGACGGGUGAGUAAUGCCUAGGAAUCUGCCUAGUGGUGGGGGAUAACGUUCGGAAACGGACGCUAAUACCGCAUACCGUCCUACGGGAGAAAGCGGGGGACCUUCGGGCCUCGCGCCAUUAGAUGAG